AGUGAACGCUGGCGGUAGGCCUAACACAUGCAAGUCGAACGGCAGCACAGUAAGAGCUUGCUCUUACGGGUGGCGAGUGGCGGACGGGUGAGGAAUACAUCGGAAUCUACUUUUUCGUGGGGGAUAACGUAGGGAAACUUACGCUAAUACCGCAUACGACCUACGGGUGAAAGCAUGGGAUCUUCGGACCUUGCGCGAUUGAAUGAGCCGAUGUCGGAUUAGCUAGUUGGCGGGGUAAAGGCCCACCAAGGCGACGAUCCGUAGCUGGUCUGAGAGGAUGAUCAGCCACACUGGAACUGAGACACGGUCCAGACUCCUACGGGAGGCAGCAGUGGGGAAUAUUGGACAAUGGGCGCAAGCCUGAUCCAGCAAUACCGCGUGGGUGAAGAAGGCCUUCGGGUUGUAAAGCCCUUUUGUUGGGAAAGAAAAGCAGCAGGUUAAUACCCCGCUGUUCUGACGGUACCCAAAGAAUAAGCACCGGCUAACUUCGUG
Molecule: ribosomal RNA, 492 nt
Filed under: uncultured bacterium
Lineage: Bacteria
Description: partial 16S ribosomal RNA
Rfam family: Bacterial small subunit ribosomal RNA
Source: RNAcentral